RNAcentral lists this ribosomal RNA (253 nucleotides) under uncultured bacterium. Its description in RNAcentral is "partial 16S ribosomal RNA". It matches the Rfam family "Bacterial small subunit ribosomal RNA", at positions 524 to 776 of the family's 1533-position model. The record is from RNAcentral.
UACAGAGGGGGCAAGCGUUAUUCGGAAUUAUUGGGCGUAAAGGGCGCGUAGGCGGCCAUUCAAGUGACGGGUGAAAGCCCUCGGCUUAACCGAGGAACUGCCUGUCAGACUGGAUGGCUUGAGACCGGGAGAGGUGAGUGGAACUGCGAGUGUAGAGGUGAAAUUCGUAGAUAUUCGCAAGAACACCAGUGGCGAAGGCGGCUCACUGGCCCGGUACUGACGCUGAGGCACGAAAGCGUGGGGAGCAAACAGG